GUGGGGAAUAUUGCACAAUGGGGGAAACCCUGAUGCAGCAACGCCGCGUGAGUGAUGACGGUCUUCGGAUUGUAAAGCUCUGUCUUCAGGGACGAUAAUGACGGUACCUAAGGAGGAAGCCACGGCUAACUACGUGCCAGCAGCCGCGGUAAUACGUAGGUGGCAAGCGUUGUCCGGAUUUACUGGGCGUAAAGGGAGCGUAGGUGGAUAUUUAAGUGGGAUGUGAAAUACUCGGGCUUAACCUGGGUGCUGCAUUCCAAACUGAAUAUCUAGAGUGCAGGAGAGGAAAGUAGAAUUCCUAGUGUAGCGGUGAAAUGCGUAGAGAUUAGGAAGAAUACCAGUGGCGAAGGCGACUUUCUGGACUGUAACUGACACUGAGGCUCGAAAGCGUGGGGAGCAAACAGGAUUAGAUACCCGUGUAGUCC
This 425-nucleotide ribosomal RNA is filed under the name uncultured bacterium. Its description in RNAcentral is "partial 16S ribosomal RNA". It matches the Rfam family "Bacterial small subunit ribosomal RNA", at positions 354 to 796 of the family's 1533-position model. The record is from RNAcentral.